This 465-nucleotide ribosomal RNA is filed under the name uncultured bacterium. Its description in RNAcentral is "partial 16S ribosomal RNA". It matches the Rfam family "Bacterial small subunit ribosomal RNA", at positions 338 to 795 of the family's 1533-position model. The record is from RNAcentral.
CCUACGGGUGGCAGCAGUGGGGAAUAUUGCGCAAUGGGCGAAAGCCUGACGCAGCGACGCCGCGUGAGGGAUGAAGGUCUUCGGAUCGUAAACCUCUGUCAGCAGGGCAGAACGGUCACUGUGCUAAUCAGCAGUGCAUUGACGGUACCUGCCAAGGAAGCACCGGCUAACACCGUGCCAGCAGCCGCGUUAAUACGGAGGGUGCGAGCGUUAAUCGGAAUUACUGGGCGUAAAGCGCUCGUAGGCGGUAUGUCAAGUCAAGGGUGAAAUCCCCGCGCUCAACGUGGGUACUGCCGUUGAAACUGGGAAACUGGAGUGUGUGAGAGGAUGGCGGAAUUCCAGGUGUAGGAGUGAAAUCCGUAGAUAUCUGGAGGAACAUCAGUGGCGAAGGCGACUAUCUGGCACAUAACUGACGCUGAGGAGCGAAAGUGUGGGUAGCAAACAGGAUUAGAUACCCCGGUAGUC